UACGUAGGGUGCAGGCGUUAAUCGGAAUUACUGGGCGUAAAGCGCGCGUAGGCGGCUUUGCAAGUCGGGUGUGAAAUCCCCAGGCUCAACCUGGGAACUGCAUUCGAGACUGCAUUGCUAGAGUAUGGGAGAGGUGAGUGGAAUUCCCAGUGUAGAGGUGAAAUUCGUAGAUAUUGGGAAGAACACCAGUGGCGAAGGCGGCGACCUGGACAGAUAUUGACGCUGAGGUGCGAAAGCGUGGGGAGCAAACAGG
This 253-nucleotide ribosomal RNA is filed under the name uncultured bacterium. RNAcentral's name for it is "partial 16S ribosomal RNA". It matches the Rfam family "Bacterial small subunit ribosomal RNA", at positions 524 to 776 of the family's 1533-position model. The record is from RNAcentral.